RNAcentral lists this long non-coding RNA (6921 nucleotides) under Sus scrofa (pig). RNAcentral describes it as "lncRNA (ENSSSCG00005007635.1)". Lineage: Eukaryota; Metazoa; Chordata; Mammalia; Artiodactyla; Suidae. The record is from RNAcentral.
UUUAAGAAUCCCAUUGCAUUAACUGUAGCAUUCCAGCUAUAUGAAUGAAUGUGUCAAUGUGAGAGCUAUAUCAGAACUUUCUUAGAGUUUCUUUUCUAAUAAGUGAGUCUUGGAAAAACCAUAAAUCUUGAAGAACUUUAAGUCGAAAUUCAAGCUCAGACUAUUGAACACAACUAAAUCUGGAUGACCCCCAAAUGAUGUUCUAAUAUCUUCAACCAAAGAGAGAUAAAGGAUGAAAUAUUUCACUUGACAACUUAUCUACAUUCUAGUUGGCCUUACCAGCUAGGAAUUCAGUUCAUUUAUCUAGUUUUCUCAUUUGAGGUUUACUUUAUAAUGUCCCUUUCCUGAAUGAAUCUUACUUGGCAACCAAGACACUUGUAUGAUCAGGCCACUCAAGAUGGCUGUUCUCUUGUUCUCUGAACAUCCCCUGCCUGACCAGUGCCUGCUUCACCUACACCCUACUCAUGUGACUGACCUUCAUAAGUACUUGCCCCAGGCCCUAGCUAGCAAUAGCUUAUCAAAGGGGCAGUGUGGGGUGCACCCCUCUGCUGGUUUCCUGGUAACUAAUGAGCUCCCUAUAACUGGCAACCUCCCCACUCCACCCCACCCCUAGGAGUGAAGACUGCCAUCAUGUCCUGUCCACUGUCAGCUGCAUGGUGGCGGGGGGGGGGGUCACUCCAAGACCUCGCUUCAGAUAUGUGUAAGCUUCCUCCAUCCAUUAGACCAUUGAUGUCUCUGUUGCUGACUCUGGACUCUUUCUUUGGUCUUGGAAGUUGGGCAAGCACAGGCCUUAUAGGCCAAUGUAGUACAGCCCAACAACACUUCGCUGUCAAUCUUAGUUUGAAUUUAGUGAUCUUGGGAUCACUGGCACAGAGACCAGCCAUGAAUUCUAGCAGAAACAGAUCCCAUUAAAGGAGGUUAAUUUUAAAUACCUUUCUCUUAAACAGCACUCUGCCACUGGUAUGGGUCCUCUAUUAGAUGCCUAAGCAGGAGGUGGGGAGAAAGAAGGAGGCAGAAAAGAGAAGACCAUCUGUCUCUCAAUUCCAUAAACAAUAGGUAAGAAGACACCCAUGUAUGGGAGUUGACGCAGUUUAGUGUGAAAACGGCCUCAGUAGACUGCAGGAGAAAUUGGGUCUCAUCCUACCACCACCACUUCUUGGUUAUGUAUGUAAUCUUAGGUAAGUUUCAUCAGCUCUUGGGGUACAAAUUUUCCCAUACAAUGAACUAGGAGUCCAAAGUUUCCUUUCAGGAGAGUACUAUACAUUCUAGGCAUGGUGGUUGCUGUGCCUUUGGCUGUUUCAAAGAGAGAAUGGAUCCAUUUGCAAAGGGAGCUAAAGCUGAAGGAUCAUUAUUCAGAGAGAAGUCACCUAGGACAAGAUGGGUUCCGUGCAAGUCAGCAUUAUGAAGGAGAAGGAAAUGUGAGCAAGCAGAAGCUGUAAGCUAAGGAUUAGUAGAUGAUCAGAAAGUCCAUAAGAAGAGGGAAAUGGAACUGAGAUGGGCAUUUGUUGGUCCCACAGACUCCCAUUCGUAGGGGCUAUGUUCUCACUGGUGUUGGAGCCUUUUGCCAACUCUCUGUACAUCUCAGGGCCUAGUUGUAGAGCAUUUCCUGGUCACAAGUAUCCUUAUCCCACUGAGGUAAUCUUGAAGUAACCUUACUCAAUUGUCACCUCUUGAAACUCAAAAGAGCUCAACUAGAACUACAACAGGAGCAUGAAGUCUAUGAUUAUAUGAAGUUUUACAAGGCUAAAUGUACAAGCUGUAUGCUAGGCACAAAAAGAAUAAGAUAUACUAAUUUAAUCAUGACUUUCCAUACACCAUAACCAAUAGCUAGUUAAAACUGAAACCAAAACAGAAGCUGAACCUUCGUAUGUUCGCUCGUGUGAACAUGGACAAGAUCCCAGCACUCUGGGCUCUUUGAAUCACAUAGGGUGUGGCUGCUUCAAAUGCCAGAGGGACAGAACAUGCAAGUCUGAAUCAGCCACCAGAGGGAGUAUAAACAAAUCUACAAAUAGGCUGGGGGAGCCUUCCUUCUCACAUUGCUCCUGGGUGCUAGAAUUUCCACCAAGGAUGUUCUUUCAGCUGUUGUUCAUCCCCAGCAAACUGCAGCUAGCUGAAGACCAGCAAGGGUUCCAAACAGGGAAGUACUUGUUCAGACCUCAAAGCGUCCAAUGUCAAGUAUAUCGUGAUUGCAUAAUGUCACAGCAUGUACUGUCCAGGUAGGCGAUGGUCUCUUUCUGCACAACACAGUCAGUAUGCAUCCAAAGAACUCUGUGUUUUAAAGAUUGUUUCCCAGUUGUUUAGAACAUGGAAUGUCAUGUCCCAUAGAAAUGACAUAAGGAGUCCUUGGGUUUGCAGGCCAGCCCCCAAAUAUUACUUGACCCUUGAUCAAUCUGAACCACGGAGCCACUGCUAUGCUUCUGGAAGACUGAACAAUCAUUUAAAAUGUUGCUAACAUAAAGCACUUCAGCUCGAGGGCCAAGCACCACCUCCUCCAGGCAGUGGUUCUGGAUACCCCAUGCCCUGGAUGGAGUUGACUGUUUCCUCCUCUGUGUCCUCUCUGUCCUCACCACCACCAGGUCAUGAACAUCCUUCUUUCAUAGCAUCUACAAUACUGUAUGAAAAUCAUGUUUGCAUAGGUCUCACUGCACUCUUCCCUGAACUCAUUGCAAGAAGGGAUGUCUGUUCUUUAUCACCUGGGUGCCAGGCACAGAACAUGAACUUGUGAUAUGUUUGGUCAAAGGGCAUGGUGGUGGGAUCCCGCCACAUCCACUCUCAUCCCUGAUUUAAAGUCUCCUCCUGCCAUCACUCCAUUGCUCAUCCUUCCUCCUAUGAGGAGAGCCUGGCUCUGGAAGGUUGAGCUUGAGGCAGGGAGUAAGAAGACUCCAGAGAGUUCUACCUUAAAAGACAGGGAAGGUCUUUCUAGUCCAUAGGAAUGGCAGGAGGUGGGAGAGAGAGAAAGGGAUGGGAAGAGGGCCCUGAGCUUUUCUGCUGAUCCCCCCCCAUUGGGUCUUAUUGGGGGUGGGACACUGGGUAGUGGUCUUGACUCCCACAGACACACAACUCUGGGUCCCCGCCUUGGCUCUAUUGGAAGAGAAGGCCAAGAGUCUUGGGGGCGGGGAGGAAGGAAUAGCGUUUUCCAUGUUCAGGCAGAUCUGCUGCAUCUUUGACUCUCAGUGCUCACUGAGGAGAAUCUUAAUUUGUAAAAUAGAAAAAUCUUGUGUGUUUGGCUAUGGAAUUCACAAAAAAAACCACUGGAUUCUUGGGUGCUAUGCUUGGAUCUGCCAUUCGCCAGUUCUGAGGCCACCACCAUCUUGUCCAGCAAAUGGGCCUUUCGGAUUAUUGAUUUCAAUGUUCUGUCUUUGCAGCAAAGCUAUCUUCCCAUUUCUUUUGACUACAUUGCUACCUUAUGGAAUCUUAGAGCGAGAAAGGAUCUUUGAAAGCAUAAAGCCAAGCUUCCUCAUUUUACAGCUGAAAACCCAGGAGGUCCCAGGAGGUAAAGACAUGCGCUCAAGGUCACACAGCUAAUCAGGAGUUGUGUCAAGAGUAGAAGCAGGGUCGUCAGACCCUCAGCUUGGCACAGUUCCACCUCAUCUCCCUGCGCCCCCGAGCCAACACUCGCAGAGGGGGCCAAGGGUGUGCUGCAAGUUUGAAGGAAGUAAUUUUGAGUUUUCAAAUUAGCUGUGGAUAAGUCACACAUGGAUAGUCAGGAGCUGACUGCAGCCUGGGCUCUAACUGAGCUUUAAGUCAAUAUUAUAAGCUUGAAUAUUUAUGGGUGUUUUGGUUUGUUUCCAAAAGUGGAUGAAAGCGCCAUCCUUCCUCCUGUCACAUAAAUGGAAAACACCAGAAAGGCAGGAUUUACAGUGCUUUCCCAGCAUUUGUGCAUUUUGAUGUUGAUGUGAGUGGACUGAAAUCUGAAGGGAAACACAGAAGGCAGAGGGCACCACUGGCUUCCUGGUUGUAGGGAGUGAGGGCUGAUUAGGGGAUUCUGAGUUCGCAGAGCAAAAGGUACUGUUUGGCUGAAUGAUUCGCUCUGAAAUUUGAAAACCAUUAUGGGACAUUUUCCGGGAGUGCCUCUGAGCUCUUUGGCGGAGAGUGAUAACUUCAGGUCCCCUCUCGAGCUUGGCGGUCACCUUCCUGCCCUGGCUCUGACAUUCCGCGGCUACUGGAAAUCUGACCUCCUUCCUUUCUCCUCACUUCUAGUAGGAUUUCAGGGUUCUUUUCAAGUUAAUUAAAUUCUAUUUUUCCUUUGAUAACCUAGCAAUGCCUUUGAGAUUAUCAGAGAAGAUAAGAGCAAGGGCUUCACAGAACUCAGAGAUGGUGGCCUUGCUCUGCCGCUUACUAGCUAUGUGACGGUGGGUAAGUCACAUCCUGAAAAGCCGCAUCUCGAAAAUGGGAGUCCUGUGUGCCCCAAAAGACUUGUCUGGAGGAUUAAAUGAAGGAUGAGUAUGGAAGUGCUUUGUAAACUGUAAAGUGCCAUCCCCUAAUGCAUAGUGUCUAUAGUCCCUGUUAACUGCUGGUGGGUUCUGGGCUGUUAUUCAGCCUGGUAUGGGAAUUGCGUGACUCACCUUCGUGCUAAGAUAGGCCGAAGGAAAGGUGUCAUAGGUGAGGCUGGUCCUGACCAAUCACUUCCUUGGUGUCUCAAUUACAAGUGACAUUUAUGAGCACUUACAACGUGUCAGGCAUUCUGCUAACACCAUGCAUGGCUAACGUGGGUUGCAUUCUUCCAAUAACCCUAUGAUGACAGAAUUCCUAUUAUUCCAAUUUUACUCACAUGGAAGCUGAGGCACAGAGUGGUUAAGAAACUUGCCUCAAGUUACACAGGGGAUAUGUGUCACAGUCAGGAAAUGAAGCCAGGUGGGUCUUAGUCCAGGGUUCUAGCUGUUAACUACAGGGGAAGAUGGUGUUUUCCAAAGCCAGCUGCAACAAAAGCUCUCAUCCCACAAGUAGUUCUGCCUUAGGACCUGCCACUCCCCCAUCAGGAGGCGGAAUCGAAUUCCCCCCCCCCUUAAAUGUAGGCCAGCCUUAGUGAUGUGCAGGUGACCGGUGGAAUGUGGUGGAGCUGACGGGCCUCUGAGCCGAGGUCAGAAAGAGCCACACAGCUUCUGUCUGGAGCUGUUAGGACACUUGAUCUCUAGGCACUCUCUUACAGCAUGCUCUUUCUUGAAGCUCAGCCUCUGGGCUAUGGAAAAGCCCAGGCCACGUGGACAGGCUGUGUGGACCACCUGCCUACAGUCUCAGCCUUCCCAUCAUCCUAGCCCAGGAGCCCAACAUGUAGUAAAGAAGCUGCCAGAUGAUCCAGCCUUCUGCCAUUGAGUCUUCCCAGCUGAGGCAGAGACAAGCGACCCUGCUGUGCCCGGUCUGAAUUUCCGACCCACAGCCUCCCCGAACAUAUAAAAUGGUGGUUGUUGUUUCACUUGACUAAGUUUGGAGAGGUUUGUGGUCCAGCAAAGAUAACUGGAACAACUACUCGGCCAUUCUCCAGCAGUUCUUACUGGGCAAUGUCCCCCUCCCUCCUUGACUGAUCAGAACUCCCCACUGGGAUGUCCUGGGUGGUCCUGGCAAGAUCUACCUCUUCUCCUUCCCAUUCUUGAAAGACCCUGAACUCUCUGGACGAUGGAGAGUCUGAGAGGGUUAACUACACUCAUCCCUGCUAUGCUAUUUCCUGGUUACUUGUCAGUUUUUCGAGGUAUCAGAGGGCCUUCUUUUGCUAAUAUGCCUGUCUUCGUAAGAGAUCCCAGCAGCCAGGCUGGCCAAGAAUGAGAAAUCCUGGCCCUUUGCUGAACACAUUUCUGGACAGGGGCUUGCUCAGACCAACAGAAAGGCUGCUCUGCUCUCCCUGAUGCUGGCUCUGGUAUGAAGCAGCUCAGAGCGGCUCUGCCUUUGAAAAAGUCAAAGCAGUCAUAAGGGGAGCCACACACACACCAGGGGCUAGACCCUUCUUGGAAGGAUCCAGAUAUUUCCCAUCAUGCCUGAUCUUGUCACAUCUCCCAACUGUGCUCUCUGAGCUUCUCUUGGCCAAGGACUAGCACCCAGCUGGGAAAUCCGAGGGUAGGACGCAGAGGCAGGAAGCUGACUACCCAUUGGGGGGUGGUUGUGACCGGAGGGGAGCUCGGGCAGGAAGGGCACUUCUGAGGGCCAGACCUGUUCUGUUUCUCGAUAUGGGCGGGGCUUGCACAGUGUGUUCUUUCUGCGAUGACGCACUGAACGGUGUGCAUACUACCUGUGCGUUUCUUCUGCGUGUGUGUUACACACCAAUAACAAAAGGGGGAAAGGGGGCCGGCAACUCUGCAGUGAGGACAAAACCUAAAAUAAAUGUGGAAGGUCAAUAACAGAGGAAACGUGCUCUACUGCAGUGGUUGGAGCAGUGAAGUCCUUCAGUGAACAAGCCGUAGCUUUCAUGUUUGUGUCGCCAGUAGCAACACGGAGCCAGGCAUCCAGAAGGCAUCCAGCGCAUGUUCACUGACCACCCCCCGCCCUUAGCCUCCCCUUCCUCUUUCCUACUCCUCACCCUGACUGACAGGCAAGUCUUUCCAGAAGGCUCUUGGCUAAUAAUACCUCCACCCCACCCCCAGGGCAAGAUCUAUAUUUUCUCAUACCUGCACCCUGUCAUUGUUGAUAUCUGAGAUGACGCAGAACAGGUGAGGCGAGAACGGAUGAAGACUCUAAAAUUCCUCAGGGGAACUUUAAUCAACAUCCUUGUCUGCCUUCCAACCCUGUGAGGUGAGGACUGCUAAUAAUCCCAUUGAUAGGCAGCUAAACUGAGGCACAGAGAGGUUAAGCAACUCACCCCAAGUCACACAGCUAGUAAGUGACAGACCCUGGAUUAAACCCAGCCAUCUGGCUCCAGGGUCUGUACUUUCAAGACCUAUGGAAUCCUGUUUUUAUGGAGAUGGCAAUAACAUAUACUUGGGAGACAUUUCC